Molecule: ribosomal RNA, 774 nt
Filed under: uncultured Neocallimastigales
Lineage: Eukaryota; Fungi; Neocallimastigomycota; Neocallimastigomycetes; Neocallimastigales
Description: partial large subunit ribosomal RNA
Rfam family: Eukaryotic large subunit ribosomal RNA
Source: RNAcentral
CGUCUAUAUACGUAUAGCAUAUCAAUAAGCGGAGGAAAAGAAACUAACAAGGAUUCCCUUAGUAACGGCGAGUGAAGCGGGAAGAGCUCAAAUUUGAAAUCUUCAAGGUUCUACCUUGACAAAUUGUAGUUUAUAGAAGUGUUUUCUGUUAGUGGAGUGGCAAAAGUUCUUUGGAAUAGGACAUCAUAGAGGGUGAGAAUCCCGUAUUUGGUCAUUCCUCCUAGCGUUGUGAUACACUUUCAACGAGUCGGAUUGUUUGGGAAUGCAGUCCGAAAUGGGUGGUAAAUUUCAUCUAAAGCUAAAUAUUGGCGAGAGACCGAUAGCGAACAAGUACCGUGAGGGAAAGAUGAAAAGAACUUUGAAGAGAGAGUUAAACAGUACGUGAAAUUGUCAAAAGGGAAGCGUUUGACACCAGUGUUGUUUAGUUGAAAAUCAAUUAAAUAAUUUGUGAUUUUGAGUAGUAUUGACUUCAUCAGCUUGCUGCUUUCUUUUCAGGAAUUAUUGAAUGCACCUUUCAGUUAACAAGUCAACAUCAAUUUCUUUUGUUGUAAAAGGGUAAGAGGAAGGUGGCUUACGCUUCGGCGUAAGUGUUUAUAGCCUUUUACCUCUGCAAUCGGAGAGAUUGAGGACAGCAGCGUAGACUCUUCGGGGUUAGAUACACUUGUGCUAAGCUAUAGCCUUGUAUAGACAACUUGUUGACUAUGCUCAGUCAUGUAGCUUACUCGCUUGUGCUAUUUUACCUACGCUUAGGAUGUUGAAGUCAUCGUAUCGCGC